GAUGAACGCUGGCGGCGUGCCUAAUACAUGCAAGUCGAGCGAACAGACGAGGAGCUUGCUCCUCUGAUGUUAGCGGCGGACGGGUGAGUAACACGUGGAUAACCUACCUAUAAGACUGGGAUAACUUCGGGAAACCGGAGCUAAUACCGGAUAAUAUUUUGAACCGCAUGGUUCAAUAGUGAAAGACGGUCUUGCUGUCACUUAUAGAUGGAUCCGCGCUGCAUUAGCUAGUUGGUAAGGUAACGGCUUACCAAGGCAACGAUGCAUAGCCGACCUGAGAGGGUGAUCGGCCACACUGGAACUGAGACACGGUCCAGACUCCUACGGGAGGCAGCAGUAGGGAAUCUUCCGCAAUGGGCGAAAGCCUGACGGAGCAACGCCGCGUGAGUGAUGAAGGUCUUCGGAUCGUAAAACUCUGUUAUUAGGGAAGAACAAAUGUGUAAGUAACUAUGCACAUCUUGACGGUACCUAAUCAGAAAGCCACGGCUAACUACGUG
RNAcentral lists this ribosomal RNA (497 nucleotides) under uncultured bacterium. RNAcentral describes it as "partial 16S ribosomal RNA". It matches the Rfam family "Bacterial small subunit ribosomal RNA", at positions 28 to 507 of the family's 1533-position model. The record is from RNAcentral.